AUAAAGAAACAGACUCCAAGUAAAUAAGUAACUUGCUCAACAUCCACAGUGAUUAACUGACAGAGCUACAGCUCAAACGCAGGUGUCCUGAUUCUUGGACUAAAGGACUUUCUGCCAACCCUGAGAGAACAUUCUGGCUGGAAUAGAAGGAAAUGAGACGAGCAGAGAGAGGCCUGGUAGGCUCUGAAGAGAAGCAGUCUCAGGCACUGAGGCAGAAGAGGGCCUCCGCUAGUGAGCACAGACCAACAGGACAGGAUUCCAGCCAAUGGCCAGUGUGGGUGCUGCUUUGUUCGGGCCGGGAAACAUCUCACUUCCCCUACCCUCUUUCACUUGGUUUGCCAGCUGCUUGUCACUCAGACCUCAUGUCCUUUGAGAAGUGGUCCCAAAGCACACAAGCAUGCCUCCUCAGAACACGUGUCCCAGUACCGCGAGUCUAUUUUCCCUGUUGGCACAUAAGCUCCAAGGAUGAAGCUCUGACAGUCUCCUCUUGCCCAGGUCUUAGCACUUACUACCUCUGCU
RNAcentral lists this long non-coding RNA (519 nucleotides) under Equus caballus (horse). RNAcentral's name for it is "lncRNA (ENSECAG00000037863.3)". The record is from RNAcentral. Lineage: Eukaryota; Metazoa; Chordata; Mammalia; Perissodactyla; Equidae.